AUUGAACGCUGGCGGCAUGCUUUACACAUGCAAGUCGAGCGGCAGCGCGGGGGGCAACCUUGGCGGCGAGCGGCGAACGGGUGAGUAAUGCAUCGGAACGUAUCCUGUAGUGGGGAAUAACUCACCGAAAGGUGAGCUAAUACCGCGUAAGCUCUGAGGAGGAAAGCGGGGGACCGAAAGGCCUCGCGCUGCAGGAGCGGCCGAUGUCCGAUUAGCUAGUUGGUGAGGUAAAGGCUCACCAAGGCGACGAUCGGUAGCUGGUCUGAGAGGAUGAUCAGCCACACUGGGACUGAGACACGGCCCAGACUCCUACGGGAGGCAGCAGUGGGGAAUUUUGGACAAUGGGGGAAACCCUGAUCCAGCCAUGCCGCGUGAGUGAAGAAGGCCUUC
This 390-nucleotide ribosomal RNA is filed under the name uncultured bacterium. RNAcentral describes it as "bacterial SSU rRNA". It matches the Rfam family "Bacterial small subunit ribosomal RNA", at positions 29 to 419 of the family's 1533-position model. The record is from RNAcentral.